AUUGAACGCUGGCGGCAGGCCUAACACAUGCAAGUCGAGCGGCAGCGGAAAGUAGCUUGCUACUUUGCCGGCGAGCGGCGGACGGGUGAGUAAUGUCUGGGAAACUGCCUGAUGGAGGGGGAUAACUACUGGAAACGGUAGCUAAUACCGCCUAACGUCGCAAGACCAAAGAGGGGGACCUUCGGGCCUCUUGCCAUCAGACGUGCCCAGAUGGGAUUAGCUAGUAGGCGGGGUAAUGGCUCACCGAGGCGACGAUCCCUAGCUGGUCUGAGAGGAUGACCAGGCACACUGGAACUGAGACACGGUCCAGACUCCUACGGGAGGCAGCAGUGGGGAAUAUUGCACAAUGGGCGCAAGCCUGAUGCAGCCAUGCCGCGUGUAUGAAGAAGGCCUUCGGGUUGUAAAGUACUUUCAGCGGGGAGGAAGGUGUUGAGGUUAAUAACCUCAGCAAUUGACGUUACCCGCAGAAGAAGCACCGGCUAACUCCGUGCCAGCCGCCGCGGUAA
This 506-nucleotide ribosomal RNA is filed under the name uncultured bacterium. RNAcentral describes it as "partial 16S ribosomal RNA". It matches the Rfam family "Bacterial small subunit ribosomal RNA", at positions 30 to 523 of the family's 1533-position model. The record is from RNAcentral.